Non-coding RNA from Acanthosepion pharaonis, 113 nucleotides. Lineage: Eukaryota; Metazoa; Mollusca; Cephalopoda; Sepiida; Sepiidae. The record is from the annotation of a GenBank genome assembly.
UACGGCUACAUCAAAUUGAAACAGUGGUUCCCAUAUGAUCACCGAAUUUAAGCAACAUCGAACUUGGUCACUACCUAGAUGGGUAACCGCUUGGGAAUACCAGGUGCUGUAAG